Molecule: RNA transcript, 1129 nt
Organism: Halichondria panicea
Lineage: Eukaryota; Metazoa; Porifera; Demospongiae; Suberitida; Halichondriidae
Exons: 5
Source: RefSeq, a predicted model, not a curated record
AACAGUCCCUAUCAGAAAUACAGUUUAGCCUGUCCAAUACACUCAAUAAUUAUAUGCUGGCUAGUUUCAAAUCUAAGACCUAGAUGUCGGAGUCAGAGCUACCAAGUUUGUAUUUUUCAGAAAGUGAAAAGAAGGAAUGGUGGGAUAAAAUAGAGAAAGGAAGUGAGGCCUUUCUAUCAAAAAAUGAGGCCCUUCUAUCAAAAAAAAAAUGAAAAGGUGCUCGAGAUGAAGGCGGGGGCUGAAGAUACAAAGGGGGUUACGAUAAAAGAUGCCCAGUCAUACGUGGUGAAACAAGUAGUGGACAUAUUACAAGAUAAAGGGGAGUUUCAAAAAAAGUUCGAUAUAAAAACUAACGAGGUGUAUGGAAAUGGGUCUCUGAAGCAAGCAAUCACAGUGCCUGGAAAUUUUAACAUUGAUUUGGUUCUGUUCUCAGAGAGUUUUACAACUGAAGAUUAUCUUGCUAACAACGGCUAUCCUGAGAAGCUGGAAGAAAUCAACAAACACAUCAGUGAAAGAAAAACUUAAAGACAACUAUCAACGCAUUGAAAUAAAGAAAACGGAAAAGAAAACAUACACAGAGCUCAUUUUUAACUUCAUGCCCACCAAGGACAAUCGUAUGGAGAGUAUCAGAGUGACUUUAAUGCUUUUUCCAUUCUGGAAGGAUACAUCUACAUGUACUAAAAAGCUCUUUGAUUUGAUUUUGGCACAGGAUUCUUGGGAGAAGAAGCAGCUCCUCUUCCCUGGUGUCAUCAAACUCCAGACACAGUAUAUACGGAAAGUUGACAGAGAUCACAGAGUUUGUCAGAAAAUACACGUCCUAAUUCAGAGGGCAAAAGCAUGGAGAGACAUUCAAACGUGGCCCGAGGACAGUGAUGACUGGGUACUUCAAAGACCUAACUCAUACCUGAUUUCCAUGCUAGUUAUCAAGGCGUACUAUAUUAUAUGAAGUACCAGAGACAGAAAAAGGCAAUAAAUUGAAACCUUAUGCCACCAAGUAAUUAUCAUCUUAAUUUAUCAUUCCUGCUUUACAUUCUAUAUAACAACAGGGUGACCAAAACGUUUAUAAGUAUCGUAAAAAGAUUAGGACAACUUUAUGACUGGGAGUAAGUUUUUACUGUAAUAUAUGUGC